Molecule: ribosomal RNA, 425 nt
Filed under: uncultured bacterium
Lineage: Bacteria
Description: partial 16S ribosomal RNA
Rfam family: Bacterial small subunit ribosomal RNA
Source: RNAcentral
GUGGGGAAUCUUGCGCAAUGGGCGAAAGCCUGACGCAGCCAUGCCGCGUGAAUGAUGAAGGUCUUAGGAUUGUAAAAUUCUUUCACCGGGGACGAUAAUGACGGUACCCGGAGAAGAAGCUCCGGCUUACUUCGUGCCAGCAGCCGCGGUAAUACGAAGGGGGCUAGCGUUGCUCGGAAUUACUGGGCGUAAAGGGCGCGUAGGCGGACAGCUUAGUCAGAGGUGAAAGCCCAGGGCUCAACCUUGGAAUUGCCUUUGAUACUGGCUGUCUUGAGUUUGGGAGAGGUGAGUGGAACUCCGAGUGUAGAGGUGAAAUUCGUAGAUAUUCGGAAGAACACCAGUGGCGAAGGCGACUCACUGGCCCAAUACUGACGCUGAGGCGCGAAAGCGUGGGGAGCAAACAGGAUUAGAAACCCGUGUAGUCC